GCGGAUGUGGUGGAAUUGGUAGACACGCUAGAUUCAGGUUCUAGUGCUAGCAAUAGCAUGAAGGUUCAAGUCCUUUCAUCCGCA
RNAcentral lists this transfer RNA (84 nucleotides) under Candidatus Fibrimonas sp. Its description in RNAcentral is "tRNA-Leu". It matches the Rfam family "tRNA". From Rfam's summary of the family: Transfer RNA (tRNA) molecules are approximately 80 nucleotides in length. Their secondary structure includes four short double-helical elements and three loops (D, anti-codon, and T loops). Further hydrogen bonds mediate the characteristic L-shaped molecular structure. tRNAs have two regions of fundamental functional importance: the anti-codon, which is responsible for specific mRNA codon recognition, and the 3' end, to which the tRNAs corresponding amino acid is attached (by aminoacyl-tRNA synthetases). tRNAs cope with the degeneracy of the genetic code in two manners: having more than one tRNA (with a specific anti-codon) for a particular amino acid; and 'wobble' base-pairing, i.e. permitting non-standard base-pairing at the 3rd anti-codon position. Lineage: Bacteria; Pseudomonadati; Fibrobacterota; Fibrobacteria; Candidatus Fibrimonadales; Candidatus Fibrimonadaceae. RNAcentral also lists the same sequence under 1 other name. The record is from RNAcentral.